Molecule: long non-coding RNA, 177 nt
Filed under: Ictidomys tridecemlineatus (thirteen-lined ground squirrel)
Lineage: Eukaryota; Metazoa; Chordata; Mammalia; Rodentia; Sciuridae
Description: lncRNA (ENSSTOG00000033058.1)
Source: RNAcentral
UGGAACUCGGGAUUCUUAUUCAGUCUAGAAAUGCUCUGUGUAUAGCCAGAUGCCUUCCCUGCUCUGCAGUGUGUUUCUUCAACUAGAAGAUCAUGUUACUUUCAACCAUGGCACAUUUCCAGUACCUGCAGGCAACCAAAUCUCAUCAGCUGGGAUCCAGGCAGGCUCCCUGGCUUG